CAGGGGGUAUUUUAUUUAAAAUGUUAGUUUUGGGGACUAAUGAAAUGGUAUUUUACUUUUCCUCUGA
This 67-nucleotide transfer RNA is filed under the name Nasutitermes arborum. Its description in RNAcentral is "tRNA-Pro". The record is from RNAcentral. Lineage: Eukaryota; Metazoa; Arthropoda; Insecta; Blattodea; Termitidae.